This 905-nucleotide long non-coding RNA is filed under the name Pan troglodytes (chimpanzee). Its description in RNAcentral is "long non-coding RNA NONPTRT012322". Lineage: Eukaryota; Metazoa; Chordata; Mammalia; Primates; Hominidae. The record is from RNAcentral.
UCAACUCAAAUUAUUUCAUACUGUUUCAACAUUCCUGUUUAUGUGAAAGCAUGUGAUGAAUUGUUGCUGCAUCAGAGAUAAGAGAGAUUCUUUUUCAUUAGGUUUUCUAAGAGACUUCAGAACCAUUCCCUGGAGUGAAUUAUUUCCAAUGGUGAAGAGUAAUGGAUGGAUGGCAUGAGAUUCUCAAAAAAAUCUUGCUCCUAUUUCAGAAGUGUCACUCCAGCCCCUUGAAGGUCCAGGAAACCUGGCUGAGUAGUGUGGUCUAUGGAGGUGCAUGGGCUUCAGAAUCAGGCCAACGUUGAUCCUGAGUCCCAGCCAGCUGCUUAGUAGCUGUGGGAUAGUUAUACAAGACACAUCUGCAAGAAAAGUCAUGAUAAAAUUGAUUGCAAAAACAGCAAUUUGAAAAUUUUCUUAUUGUAUUCAUGUCCUUGGAAAUGGCUUUUAUAGUCAUUCCUAUCAAGAGACAGAUUCUGUUUCCCAAACCUUGAACCUCUCUUGACUUAUCUGCACUGGCACAGGGUGCCAGUUUGGGGCCCAGGUUUAAAGGUCCUAAAUGCUUCUGUUAUCUUUUUCAGAAUUCUUCCAUCUCUAUGACAACAAGCCCAUUUUAGCUUUCUGGAGAAUAGCAUCUGAGAAAAGCCAAAGUGCCUCAAUUUACAGACAGCUCACUCACAGAAGCAGAGCCACCUAAUUCACCAGCAUCUAACCACUCACACCUGAAGGAGCCAAACUGAGCCCAGAAGAAUGGCCCGGCUGAGCCCAGCCUAAAUUUCUAACCAGCUCAAUCCUGAGCUAGUAUGUUUCGGGAUUGUUAUGCAGUUAUAAGUUAGUAAUAUAUACACCCAUUAAAGACAGGAUCUCAGGACAGAUUGAUUACAAAUAACCUGCAAAUGCUUGGCACCCUG